GUCAAAUGGAUAUUGGAUGUGUAUAUAUCCUAGAUUAUAUACUUAAGAGUAGAUAUAAUUAAUAAUUGGCUGCAAAAUUUACCGAUUUCCCAGUAUUUGUUUUUUAGAAGUAUAUUUUGAAAUAAUAUGGAAAUUUGUAGUUGAUGUAUAAUUAUUAUAUUAGUAAAAGCUGUUGGAAUCAAAACUUGAAAGAUGCUGUUAUUUAAACAAUGCUGGAAGUUGAAGAAGCUGAAGAAAAGAAGUUUUAAUUGGAUUAUUUAAC
Anoplophora glabripennis (Asian longhorned beetle) is the source of this 262-nucleotide long non-coding RNA. RefSeq lists it as uncharacterized. Lineage: Eukaryota; Metazoa; Arthropoda; Insecta; Coleoptera; Cerambycidae. The record is from RefSeq and is a predicted model, not a curated record. The transcript is spliced from 2 exons.